This 283-nucleotide signal recognition particle RNA is filed under the name Haplochromis burtoni (Burton's mouthbrooder). Its description in RNAcentral is "Metazoan signal recognition particle RNA (ENSHBUG00000000212.1)". It matches the Rfam family "Metazoan signal recognition particle RNA". From Rfam's summary of the family: The signal recognition particle (SRP) is a universally conserved ribonucleoprotein. The record is from RNAcentral. Lineage: Eukaryota; Metazoa; Chordata; Actinopteri; Cichliformes; Cichlidae.
GCCGGGUGCGGUGGCGCGUGCCUGUAAUCCAAGCUACCGGGAGGCUGAGGUUGGAGGAUCGUUUGAGCUCACGAGCUCUGAGCUGCAGCAGGCUAUGUCAAUUGGGUGUCCGUACUAAGUUCGGCAUCGAUAUGGUGAUCCUGGGGGAGCCUGGAACCGCCAGGUCACCUAAGGAGGGGUGCCCAGGUCGGAGACGGAGCAGGUCAAAGCCCCCAUGCUGCUCAGCAGUGGGAUUGCACCUGUGAAUAGAUUUUGUAGAGCAAUACAGCGAGACCCAAUUUUA